GAUGAACGCUAGCGGCAGGCUUAACACAUGCAAGUCGAGGGGUAGAAGGAGCUUGCUCCUUUGAGACCGGCGCACGGGUGCGUAACGCGUAUGCAAUCUACCUUUUGCAGAGGGAUAGCCCAGAGAAAUUUGGAUUAAUACCUCAUAGUAUGUGAGGAUGGCAUCAUUUUCACAUUAAAGUCGCAACGGCAAAAGAUGAGCAUGCGUCCCAUUAGCUAGUUGGUAAGGUAACGGCUUACCAAGGCUACGAUGGGUAGGGGUCCUGAGAGGGAGAUCCCCCCACACUGGUACUGAGACACGGACCAGACUCCUACGGGAGGCAGCAGUGAGGAAUAUUGGACAAUGGGCGCAAGCCUGAUCCAGCCAUGCCGCGUGCAGGAUGACGGUCCUAUGGAUUGUAAACUGCUUUUAUACAGGAAGAAACACUACUUCGUGAAGUAGCUUGACGGUACUGUGAGAAUAAGGAUCGGCUAACU
This 476-nucleotide ribosomal RNA is filed under the name uncultured bacterium. Its description in RNAcentral is "bacterial SSU rRNA". It matches the Rfam family "Bacterial small subunit ribosomal RNA", at positions 28 to 502 of the family's 1533-position model. The record is from RNAcentral.